GGAGUUAGCCGGUGCUUCUUCUGUGAGUGAUGUCCUUCCUGCCGGCUAUUAACCCGCAGGCCUUCUUCCUCACUGAAAGUGCUUUACAACCCGAAGGCCUUCUUCACACACGCGGCAUGGCUGGAUCAGGGUUGCCCCCAUUGUCCAAUAUUCCCCACUGCUGCCUCCCGUAGGAGUCUGGGCCGUGUCUCAGUCCCAGUGUGGCUGAUCAUCCUCUCAGACCAGCUACGGAUCGUCGCCUUGGUGAGCCGUUACCUCACCAACCAGCUAAUCCGACAUAGGCUCAUCCGAUAGCGCGAGGCCCGAAGGUCCCCCGCUUUCCCCCGUAGGGCGUAUGCGGUAUUAGCCUGGGUUUCCCCAGGUUAUCCCCCACUACCGGGCAGAUUCCUAUGCAUUACUCACCCGUCCGCCGCUCGCCACCAGGGAGCAAGCUCCCCGUGCUGCCGCUCGACUUGCAUGUGUUAGGCUCGCCGCCACGCGUCAUCUGAGCAGAGACACACUCUACAGAGCGGCGGCGCGACGACGCG
This 527-nucleotide ribosomal RNA is filed under the name uncultured bacterium. RNAcentral's name for it is "partial 16S ribosomal RNA". The record is from RNAcentral.